UAUUGGGCAAUGGGCGAAAGCCUGACCCAGCAACGCCGCGUGAAGGAAGAAGGUCUUCGGAUUGUAAACUUCUUUUAUGACGGACGAAGGACGUGACGGUACCUCACGAAUACGCUACCNCUAACUCCGUUUCAGCAGCCGCGGUAAUACGUAGGUGGCAAGCGUUAUCCGGAUUUACUGGGUGUAAAGGGCGCGUAGGCGGGGAUGCAAGUCAGAUGUGAAAUCUAUGGGCUCAACCCAUAAACUGCAUUUGAAACUGUAUCUCUUGAGUGCUGGAGAGGUAGAUGGAAUUCCUUGUGUAGCGGUGAAAUGCGUAGAUAUAAGGAAGAACACCAGUGGCGAAGGCGAUCUACUGGACAGUAACUGACGCUGAGGCGCGAGAGCGUGGGGAGCAAA
RNAcentral lists this ribosomal RNA (396 nucleotides) under uncultured bacterium. Its description in RNAcentral is "bacterial SSU rRNA". It matches the Rfam family "Bacterial small subunit ribosomal RNA", at positions 362 to 772 of the family's 1533-position model. The record is from RNAcentral.